AUACGAAUAACGAGUCCCAAAUAGGACGAAACGCUCGUCCUGUAU
This 45-nucleotide non-coding RNA is filed under the name Schistosoma margrebowiei. The record is from RNAcentral. Lineage: Eukaryota; Metazoa; Platyhelminthes; Trematoda; Strigeidida; Schistosomatidae.